This 7679-nucleotide long non-coding RNA is filed under the name Triticum aestivum (bread wheat). Its description in RNAcentral is "long non-coding RNA (TAES_LNC009180)". Lineage: Eukaryota; Viridiplantae; Streptophyta; Magnoliopsida; Poales; Poaceae. The record is from RNAcentral.
UUCUCUUUCUUUUUGUAUUUUGGUUUCUCCUUUUCCAUUUCUAUAUCUAAUUAGUUACUGAUUUGUAUUUAUUUGAGUGACAAAACGAAUUUAGUCAAUCUUGAAAUCUGGCACACAAUUCAAGAACAACAUUGUGGUGUCGCAUAAAAAGUUUUAGAGCCAACGAAAUUGUUCAAGCAUUUUUAGAAAUUGAAUAGGUCAAUUGAUAUGUGUUGGACCACUUUAUAUUUUCCUAGGGAUUUAUUUGUGAGUCAAUUUAAGUUGGUUUCAACUUUACAAAGGUCGGGGGAAUUUAUAGAAUAUCAUGAACAUUUUAGUUUGAACGUUUGAAAACUUUUGCUGUUUGACUUGAUUUUGAAUUUGAAAUUGAACAGUGAUAUGGAACAAGUGAGGAUUAGCAACAGUAGUGUGAUAACUUGGUGAUAACUUGGCAUAAUUAGCAGAGGUUUACUGUAGCUUAAUUAUCCGCGCGUCACAAUUCUCCUCCACUACAAGAAAUCUCGUCCCGAGAUUUAAGGGGUAGAGUUAGGGGAAAAGACUCGGGAAGGACGGAGCUCAACACAUGAUAGGUACCUGGGGGCUAUCUCAGUGAACAUGGCAUAGAGGCAUCUCUCGAGUUGGAAUUCAAGAAAGUCAUCGAGAGCAAGGUAAGGAGGUGCGGUAAGAAGCUCCAACCGGGUAGGCAAUCGUUCGUUGCCUAAAACAGAGGGUGAAAGUGGUUCAGAGCAAUGGGAAUAAGUAUUUCGUGUGAUAUCGAUCACUAGGUAGGUUUCUCGUGAUUUAUAUAUGAAGCCAAGAGCGAGGGACAACUUUGGAAAACAGGGAUGUAUAGGAGUCAGGUUUCGAUCCUAUGGAACUGUGGGUUAUGGGCCCACCAGGUGGGUUAAAAGCAGGAAGGGUGCUAACAUUUUGUACGGUCAUGAUAGCAAGGGAGGUCAGAGGAUAGCCUGUCAGUUAUGUUGGCAACAACGUUGGUACCAAGGGCGAGGGCGAAGAGAACCAUUUUCUUGCUCGUUCAACGAGGCGAACCAAUAGGCAAAGUUCUCGUCCAUCGGUGGCUACCGGAAUGCCACCAUCAAUAGUAAUAGGGGUAUUCUGACCAAGUUGUUCAUCGAGGUGUUUACUUAAGCUGGGAUUUAUCUCUGCUUAGACAAGUUAGAUUACAAGAAAGGUGAAACAAAAUAAUGGGAAGGAAAAUGUGAUUAUUAUGAUAAUCAGACCAAUGGAAAGGAAAGGUGUUUAUACCCAAGUAUUAGAGUAUAACUUUCCCAAGGAAAGGCGGAGCAUGAUAGGGCUCCAAGUAUUAAACCAUUUAGACAAAGGGGCAAGGAAUUUAUGAGGUUUACCCAUCAACGGUGUUUGGAUAGUAGAUCAAGAAACAUUCGACAAUGUGCUUCCAAUGUUCUUGUUGAUAUCCGGAAUACCUCAGUCAUGCUUCGAGGUAGCAUUAAAAUGGUGUUCCAAGUAGGGGUCGGAGUUGAAGAUCACAAUAAAUACUCAAGGAACAAUUGCAGGGAUAGCAAGGAGUCCAAGGUAUAACCAAGACAUGAUCAAGCAUGUGUUGGAAAGAAGACAAGGGGGUUGUCGAUGAUAACUCAAAUCAUCGAAGGUCAAGGAUGGUAUUUCUCAGCAUGAAUUCAAUUGUCAUCUCAACAAAAGUCAAAAUGUUGAUGCUGAUCACGACGCAUUUGUCGAGAGGCUCUAUGAAGAUGCCAUCGAGGAGUGAUGCCAUCAAGCAACAAGAAGAAUGAAGUGAAAGGCUAUUGGAACCACGAAUACGACACAAGCUUGAAAUCGAGCUUGUUGUUCGAGGUGAAAUGAUAAGAUGAAGAAGAUCGACGUAAGCUUAGCUCGUCGUCGGAAGUGGCUCCGGGAAGAAGGACCGGGUAGCAGAGUUAAAAUUAGCUCACAAUGAUAUAGCCGAUAAGGCUAGGAAUGAUGUGAUGUAGUAUCAUUCCAAUGAGAAUUCACAAGAGGUAGUGCAAUGACACAAUAUCCUCGAGAUAACAGGGGGCAAUACUCGAGGUAGAUUAAAAUAGAGGUUGGACAGAUGAAAUGAUCUGCAAAAGACAAGUAUUUUAUCUUGUCUGGGAAAUGGAAACAAGGAGAAAAUAUGGUCGGAACCACGAUCGCAAAUAAUCAAUUUAAAGAUGCAAGAUGAGCUUAUACCAAGGGAACAUUUGAUUAUAAGAGAAGCUUCCAUGAUAAGAUCUACAUCGUGUCUAUGGGCAUGAACACAAAGUUCAAGGUCGACUCCCACUUCUUCAAUGCAUAACCUCUCAUUUACUUCUCGCUUUUGACGAAGUUGUAGUGUAGAAAUUUUUUAUCCGGUGUAACACCAGUAGAGUAUGACCCAUAGAAAUUUCCGGGUUCACACAAAUAUGGGAAAGCAUUAGUUCAACCCGUCGGGGCAUCUUAGGAACAUUUGCAAAAACUUUAGAGGAAAUUAACUCAAGCUCGGAAGCAGAGCAUGGUUGACAAAGCAGAGAAUACAAUUUACCAAAGGCAAUAUGUAUCAGGGGAAGAGCGCACAAAAUUUUGAAUAUGAAGGAAACUGCCGGAUAAUAAUCCAACAGAAGAUUCAACAGUCCUCAAUGGAUCUGAUUUGAGUAUAAGUACUCAAUCAGAAGAAGGAAAGAAUGCAAAGGCAUUGGAUUAUAGAAACAACUGAAUAAUUCGAUGCUUAAUGCAGACAAAUUAUGAUUUCCAAAUUAGAAGAUCAUAAGCAGACACUCUGAUCAAAAGACAAGUAAGUUGAAUAGAUAUUGAUCGAAAAUCAAUUAAGGUUUGGUUUGUCGAGAACCAGCUCAUGUCCGGAGUGAUGUCUGAGCCGGAAAGAUCAUUUAAAAGGAUCAACUUAUGAUUGCGCGCAUUCGCUCACAUGUUGAAUCAAUAGGAACAAAGUGACGGUGUCAAAUGAUACUAAUGAAUAUUGCUAGACAUAUGAGAAGCAUCCAUAAUGUAAGCAGACAAGUAAUUGCCGAACAAUAGUUUGAAGAGGAUUCUCGGAAGAUCAAAUAGUAUUUCGGAGAAUCUUAUGAAGCAUACGAACAACUGGGGAUGAACGGAUACUUGAUAAGUGCGAGGAAUUAUCCGUAGGGGGUAUUCAUGUGGCAAAGAACUGCAAGGCAGUAAGCUCAAAGGAUUCUCGAAACAAUAGAGAAUUUCGGGGCAUCUUGUAAUAACAAGAGCAUCGAGGAAUGAUUGUAUGAAUGGCAAGUGUAUGUAGUUUUCCAUAGGGGUUGACAGUGGAAGGGAAUCGCAAAAGUGAUGAGCACAAGUUCUCGAGCGAACAUCGGAGAGUAUCUUCGAAGGCUCUGGGGAAGCGGGCGAUCAUCUGGAAUGAAGUGGCUCUCCGGGAGGAAGUAGUUACGAGAACCUAGAAGUAGAGUUAGUAAAAUCAUUUAACCCGAAUAGAAGAGAGCAGAGUCCCAGAAUAUAGAUGAGGAGUAAAAGAUCCUAACACCACCCAAUGGCGACGUGGGCCCGUAAGCCACACAGCCAAGUUAGUAAAACAGUUUUGGACGACUGGACUCAACUUCGGCCAAGGAGUUGGAAAGGGGCUACCUACAGGCAGCCGGCUCUGGUACCAACUUGUGACGCCCUCGAUUCAAUCGUACACUAAUCAGACACGCAAAUGUGUACGAUCAAGAUCAAGGACUCACGGGAAGAUAUCACAACACAACUCUAGACACAAACUAAAAUAAUACAAGCUUUAUAUUACAAGACAGGGGCCUCGAGGGCUCGAAUACAUAACCUCGAAAACACAAGAGUCAGCGGAAGCAACAAUAUCUGAGUACAGACAUGAGUUAGGCAAGUUUGCCUUAAGAAGGCUAGCACAAAAGCAACAACGAUCGAAAAGGCAAGGCCUCCUGCCUGGGAGCCUCCUAACUACUCCUGGUCGUCGGCGGCCUCCACGUAGUAGUAGGCACACUCAGUGUAGUAGCAGUUGUCGUCGAAGGUGGUGUUUGGAUCCUGGGCUCCACCAUCUGGUUGCGACAUCCGAGAAGAAUGGAGAAGGGGGAAAAGGGGGAGCAAAGCACCCGUGAGUACUCAUCCAAAGUACUCGCAAGCAAGGAUCUACACUACAUAUGCAUCCGUGUCAAUGAAAAGGGUAGUAUAUGUGGACUGAACUGCAGAAUGCCAGAAGAGAAGGGGAAGGCCUAGCCUAUCGAAGACUAGCAUCUUCUGGAAACCACCAUCUUGCAGCAACAGGAGGGAGUAGAGUAGCAUAAAGUAAAGUAGUCGAAGUGUUAUCAACCUCGGCCAGAGAUCCUUUCUCGACUCCCAGCGAGAAAGCAAUCCCAGAGCCAUACUAUCCAUUUAUCACCUCAUAUCCAAGUCUCAUCUCAAGUAUCCAGUUCUAGUUGUAUCAAUCGGGAUACGACUCCAAGUGUCCGUUACCGUAGGACAUGCUAUCGAUAGAUGUUUUCUUCCCUGCAGGGGUGCACCAACUUACCCACCACGCUCAAUUAACUCUGGCCGGACACACUUUCCUGGGUCAUGCCUGGCCUCGGCCAAACAAUACGCCGCAACCCGACCUAGGCUUAAUAGAGAGGUCAGCACGCCGGACUAAACCUAUGCCCCCAGGGGUCAUGGGCCAUCGCCCCGGGACUCUUGCACGUUGCGAGGGCGGCCGGUGAGCAGACCUGGCUACCUCCUUCAAAAAGGCAGGUGCUUACGCAGUCCAACACCCGGCGUGCGCCGCUCAGUUGCUGACGUCUAUUAAGCUUCGGCUGACAUAUACGACGCAGAACGCCCAUACUAUGCCCACGUGAUGGUUAGUUCUAUCUGGCCAGAGGCCCCUCGGAUCAAAUAUCCAAAUCGUAGUGGAUUAGGAACGUGCGGUAACAAGCAAAGACUCACGAAAGAUGUGACCCCAUUGCCCCGUCUCGAGGACUUGCAGCAAGGGCUGGGAAUGCCCGGCCACGCCUCGUAAUUAUCUCACGGGCACCCUCCAGGUCAACCCGUCUCCACAUCACUCGCAAUUAAGCUUGCGCGGGUACCCCUCAGGGUCGACCCGUCUUUAGUAACAUGGUUCAGUGUAAAGUCAUAGUAACCAUAGUAAAUGUGUGUCCAAACAUCAAGGGGAAAACCCGAGGAAUCACCCCCGGUGAAUUCCACUCGAUGUAAUCAUCAAGGUGAACGUAAGAGGAACCACCCCCGAGGUUCACACUUGAGGGGUUGCACGACAGAGUCGUAUCGGAAGUGGUUAAGGCGGAAUCACCCUCGAUGACCACGACCGAAUAGCUACACUACAGGGUUAACAUCAAAAGUGCUAUAGAGGUCUCACCCUCGGCACUCGAUAGUAACCCAGUAGUGUCGAGCAACUAAGGGAAAAGUGAUGUGCGGUGCCGGGGCCUGGUCUUCGAUCCCGUUGAUCGGGUCUUCAAUGAUGAAGCAGGGGCAACAAGGACAAGGUGGGGGGUCACUGAUGGAUUACUAACCAACCUAUACUAAGCAGUUUAGGAUAAGCGGGUAAGGUACAAUGAGCAGGUUACAAAAGCAGGCUAUGCAUCAGAAUAGGAGCAAUAAUAACAGUAGCAAAAUCUAAUGCAAGCAUGAGAGAAUGGAAUGGGCGAUAUCGGGAUGAUCAAAGGGGGGGCUUGCCUGGUUGCUCUGGCAAGGAGGGGGUCGUCGUCGACGUAGUCGAUCACAGGGGCAUCAGCAGCGGUCUCGGGGUCUACCGGAGAGAAGAGGGGGAAGAAACAGUAAAUACCCGCAAACAUAUGCAUAACAAGACAAUAAGCGGCGCUAGAGGUGUUCUAACGCGGCACUAGGCGAUACUGACGAAGGGGGAAACAUUCGGGAAAGUAUUCCCGGUUCCGGACGUCUGUCGGACAGAUGAACCGGAGGGGAAAGGUUCGACAUUUUCUAUGAUAAGGACGCGUGGCGGGCGAACGGACCGCGUAUUCAGUUUCGUCUCAUCGGUCUGAGCAACUUUCAUGUAUAAAACUUUUUCAUCCGAGCUACGGUUUAUUAUCUACAAUUUUCUAAUGUUUAAAAAGGAUUUUCUAAUUUACUAGAAUAAUUAUUAAUUUCGAAAUAAAUAGCAAAAAGCUCUAAGUACAUAGAAGUGUACCCAGCCAGGCCACACAGGGGCUGACUGGUGGGCCACGUCAACUAGGUUGACCCAGUCUGCAAUUGAGAUUUGACUGGUCAACAACUGGGACAUGGCCCACAUGUAAUUGACUUGGGUCAAAACACUAGUUCUAAUAAAAGAGAAUUUGCCUAAUCUAUUUGGGUCCACAUGUGAUACGUAACAGUAAAGAAAUGCUAGCACUAAUCACGUUUGGUAGCCGGCUGCAGAGCACGCACAUGAGCACGAACAUGUGCAGGAGUGCUGGGUGCUCACGUGCACGCACGCUAGGCCGGUCAUGGCCGAAGCACGACAUGGCGAGCACGGCCGGGGAGGCGCAAGACGCGGGGGCGCUAGCAGCAGGUGGUAGCGGCAGCAGCGCAACAACAACAGCAAGCAGCAACAGAGGCAAGCGGCAGCAACGAUAACAGGCAGCAGCGGCUGUGGCGCUAGCGGUUGUAGGGAGCAGCGGGCGGCAACGACGAGGCACGGGCGGGGGGCGCCAAGGCAGCAGGCGCGCGCAGCAGUAAGCAACAGCAACAUGUACAUAGGAGCUCGGGCUCCGGCCAUGGCGACUACAGACGAGCAAGGGAGCGGCGGCAAACGACACAGAUCGAAGGGGCAAAGCGAGGGAAUCGGCAGAGAGGCUCACCCCAGUGCUUGUGGACGAGGUUGGGAGGUCGAGGCGGCCUGGAGCAGCGGCAACCGGCGAUGGACGUCGGUGACCGUGGGAGAAGAUGAGGAUGUUGGCGAGGCCGCGGGGCGUUCCGGCAUGGGUCUUCGGUGUAGUCGAAGGAGAUGAACGCAGGGAGGCUCCUGGACAUGCUAGCCGGUGACGGGGAGGCCGGUGGCCGCGGGAUCGAUGAGGUCCAUGGCAACCACGAUGCGGUAGUUCGCGGGAGAGAGGGAAGAGGCGCGAGGAGGAGGGGGAGAAGUUAGGGUUUCGGUCGAGUGAGGUCGGGGGCUCGGCCUUAAACAACCAGGGAACCGGGGGAUGGCUGACACAUCACCUAGGGGGCGCGGCCAUGGCGGGAUGGCCGCCACGAUCCCCUCCUCCUGUAGCAGGAGGAACAGGAUGAGUGGGGGGAGGUGGGCUGCUGGGCAAGCAGACCAACUGGCCAAGUGGCCCAGGGGGAGGGGAAGGGCCUUUCUCUUUCUUUUUGUAUUUUGGUUUCUCCUUUUCCUUUUCUAUAUCUAAUUAGUUAUUGAUUUGUAUUUAUUUGAGUGACAAAACGAAUUUAGUCAAUCUUGAAAUCUGGCACACAAUUCAAGAACAACAUUGUGGUGUCGCAUAAAAAGUUUUAGAGCCAACGAAAUUGUUCAAGCAUUUUUCAAAAUUGAAUAGGUCAAUUGAUAUGUGUUGGACCACUUUAUAUUUUCCUAGGGAUUUAUUUGUGAGUCAAUUUAAGUUGGUUUCAACUUGACAAAGGUUGGGGGAAUUUAUAGAAUAUCAUGAACAUUUUAGUUUGAACAACUUUUGCCGUUUGACUUGAUUUUGAAUUUGAAAUUGAACAGUGAUAUGGAACAAGUGAGGAUUAGUAACAGUAGUGUGAUAACUUGGCAUCAUUAGCAGAGGUUUACUGUAGCUUAAUUAUUCGGG